This 253-nucleotide ribosomal RNA is filed under the name uncultured bacterium. Its description in RNAcentral is "partial 16S ribosomal RNA". It matches the Rfam family "Bacterial small subunit ribosomal RNA", at positions 524 to 776 of the family's 1533-position model. The record is from RNAcentral.
UACGUAGGGUGCAAGCGUUGUCCGGAAUUAUUGGGCGUAAAGAGCUCGUAGGCGGUUUGUCGCGUCUGCUGUGAAAACUCGGGGCUUAACCCCGGGCCUGCAGUGGGUACGGGCAGACUAGAGUGCGGUAGGGGAGACUGGAAUUCCUGGUGUAGCGGUGAAAUGCGUAGAUAUCAGGAGGAACACCGGUGGUGUAGACGGCUCUCUGGACCGUAACUGACGCUGAGACACGAAAGCGUGGGUAGCAAACAGG